CGAUGCGGUGGUGCCGAGGCACAGGGCUGGCAGGGCUGGCCGCGCUGCUGCUGGCAGUGGCUGUGGGAAGAGCCCAGGUGCUGCAGGAGCCGUCAGCAGAGACCACCGAGGGCAUCGGCAUCAACAUCACUUGCUCACACCCCAACAUAAAGUCUUACGACUACAUCUACUGGUACCGUCAGCUCCCGGGACGAGGCCCCGCGCUGCUCCUGAGCGUUCACAAAGACUCCAAAGAGCUGCGGGACCCGCCGGGGCGGCUGUGGGUGUCGGCAGACCGCCGCUCCAGCGCCCUGUGGCUCGCCCGGCCCCGGCGCCACGACGCGGCGGUGUAUUACUGCAGAAACAUCCCUGAGUUUAUGUGA
Non-coding RNA from Chroicocephalus ridibundus (black-headed gull), 362 nucleotides. NCBI's taxonomy places the organism in Eukaryota, Metazoa, Chordata, Aves, Charadriiformes, Laridae. The record is from the annotation of a RefSeq genome assembly.